UUGCACUACUGUCCGGCGAGUGGCGAACGGGUGAGUAAUAUAUCGGAACGUACCGAGUAAUGGGGGAUAACCAAUCGAAAGAUUGGCUAAUACCGCAUACGUCCUACGGGAGAAAGCGGGGGAUCGCAAGACCUCGCGUUAUUCGAGCGGCCGAUAACUGAUUAGCUAGUUGGUGGGGUAAAGGCCUACCAAGGCGACGAUCAGUAGCGGGUCUGAGAGGACGAUCCGCCACACUGGGACUGAGACACGGCCCAGACUCCUACGGGAGGCAGCAGUGGGGAAUUUUGGACAAUGGGGGCAACCCUGAUCCAGCCAUGCCGCGUGUAUGAAGAAGGCCUUCGGGUUGUAAAGUACUUUUGUUAGGGAAGAAAAGGGAAGUGCUAAUACCACUUUUUGCUGACGGUACCUAAAGAAUAAGCACCGGCUAACUACGUGCCAGCAGCCGCGGUAAUACGUAGGGUGCGAGCGUUAAUCGGAAUUACUGGGCGUAAAGCGAGCGCAGACGGUUAUUUAAGCAGGAUGUGAAAUCCCCGGGCUCAACCUGGGAACUGCGUUCUGAACUGGAUAGCUAGAGUGUGUCAGAGGGGGGUAGAAUUCCACGUGUAGCAGUGAAAUGCGUAGAGAUGUGGAGGAAUACCGAUGGCGAAGGCAGCCCCCUGGGAUAACACUGGCGUUCAUGCUCGAAAGC
This 688-nucleotide ribosomal RNA is filed under the name uncultured beta proteobacterium. RNAcentral's name for it is "bacterial SSU rRNA". It matches the Rfam family "Bacterial small subunit ribosomal RNA", at positions 73 to 760 of the family's 1533-position model. Lineage: Bacteria; Pseudomonadati; Pseudomonadota; Betaproteobacteria. The record is from RNAcentral.